ACGUGGGUGAUCUGCCCUGCACUUUGGGAUAAGCCUGGGAAACUGGGUCUAAUACCGAAUAGGACCGCAUGCUUCAUGGUGUGUGGUGGAAAGCUUUUGCGGUGUGGGAUGGGCCCGCGGCCUAUCAGCUUGUUGGUGGGGUAAUGGCCUACCAAGGCGACGACGGGUAGCCGGCCUGAGAGGGUGUCCGGCCACACUGGGACUGAGAUACGGCCCAGACUCCUACGGGAGGCAGCAGUGGGGAAUAUUGCACAAUGGGCGCAAGCCUGAUGCAGCGACGCCGCGUGAGGGAUGACGGCCUUCGGGUUGUAAACCUCUUUCACCAGGGACGAAGCGCAAGUGACGGUACCUGGAGAAGAAGCACCGGCCAACUACGUGCCAGCAGCCGCGGUAAUACGUAGGGUGCGAGCGUUGUCCGGAAUUACUGGGCGUAAAGAGCUCGUAGGUGGUUUGUCGCGUUGUUCGUGAAAACUCACAGCUUAACUGUGGGCGUGCGGGCGAUACGGGCAGACUAGAGUACUGCAGGGGAGACUGGAAUUCCUGGUGUAGCGGUGGAAUGCGCAGAUAUCAGGAGGAACACCGGUGGCGAAGGCGGGUCUCUGGGCAGUAACUGACGCUGAGGAGCGAAAGCGUGGGGAGCGAACAGGAUUAGAUACCCUGGUAGUCCACGCCGUAAACGGUGGGUACUAGGUGUGGGUUCC
RNAcentral lists this ribosomal RNA (701 nucleotides) under Mycobacterium sp. RNAcentral's name for it is "bacterial SSU rRNA". It matches the Rfam family "Bacterial small subunit ribosomal RNA", at positions 115 to 830 of the family's 1533-position model. Lineage: Bacteria; Bacillati; Actinomycetota; Actinomycetes; Mycobacteriales; Mycobacteriaceae. The record is from RNAcentral.